GUGAACCUUUACACUCUUGAGAUUUAAGUGUUCAGUUGUCACAAAUUACAACUAAAGGAUAACACUUUCCUGAAAGUGAACUAUUUCAAGAAUGAGGUAACACAGAAAAAGAGCACACACAAGUAUGGUAUGAAUCUUUGUGUAGCUAAUAAUGAAAAUUAUAAAUCAAAAUUCUUGAAAGCAUAUAAAUGAGUAAAUUAUCCAGAAUGAAGCAUUCAAAUGUUGUUGAUGCCAUGAAUCCAUCUGUAGA
RNAcentral lists this ribosomal RNA (250 nucleotides) under Triticum aestivum (bread wheat). RNAcentral describes it as "partial small subunit ribosomal RNA". Lineage: Eukaryota; Viridiplantae; Streptophyta; Magnoliopsida; Poales; Poaceae. The record is from RNAcentral.